This 799-nucleotide ribosomal RNA is filed under the name uncultured Glomeromycotina. RNAcentral describes it as "SSU rRNA". It matches the Rfam family "Eukaryotic small subunit ribosomal RNA", at positions 314 to 1114 of the family's 1831-position model. Lineage: Eukaryota; Fungi; Glomeromycota. The record is from RNAcentral.
AUCAACUUUCGAUGGUAGGAUAGAGGCCUACCAUGGUGGUAACGGGUAACGGGGUGUUAGGGCACGACACCGGAGAGGGAGCCUGAGAAACGGCUACCACAUCCAAGGAUGGCAGCAGGCGCGCAAAUUACCCAAUCCCGACACGGGGAGGUAGUGACAAUAAAUAACAAUACGGGGUUCUUUCGGAUCUCGUAAUUGGAAUGAGUACAAUUUAAAUCUCUUAACGAGGAACAAUUGGAGGGCAAGUCUGGUGCCAGCAGCCGCGGUAAUUCCAGCUCCAAUAGCGUAUAUUAAAGUUGUUGCAGUUAAAAAGCUCGUAGUUGAAUUUCGGGGUUAGUAGGUUGGUCAUGCCUCUGGUAUGUACUGAUCUCACUGAUUCCUCCUUCCUGAUGAACCGUAAUGCCAUUAAUUUGGUGUUGCGGGGAAUUUGGACUGUUACUUUGAAAAAAUUAGAGUGUUUAAAGCAAGCUAACGCUUGAAUACAUUAGCAUGGAAUAAUGAAAUAGGACGUUCGAUCCUAUUUUGUUGGUUUCUAGGAUUGACGUAAUGAUUAAUAGGGAUAGUUGGGGGCAUUAGUAUUCAAUUGUCAGAGGUGAAAUUCUUGGAUUUAUUGAAGACUAACUACUGCGAAAGCAUUUGCCAAGGAUGUUUUCAUUAAUCAAGAACGAAAGUUAGGGGAUCGAAGACGAUCAGAUACCGUCGUAGUCUUAACUAUAAACUAUGCCGACUAGGGAUCGGAUGAUGUUAAUUUUUUAAUGACUCAUUCGGCGCCUUACGGGAAACCAAAGUGUUUGGGUCC